RNAcentral lists this ribosomal RNA (466 nucleotides) under uncultured bacterium. Its description in RNAcentral is "bacterial SSU rRNA". It matches the Rfam family "Bacterial small subunit ribosomal RNA", at positions 330 to 793 of the family's 1533-position model. The record is from RNAcentral.
UCCAGACUCCUACGGGAGGCAGCAGUGAGGAAUAUUGGUCAAUGGGCGGAAGCCUGAACCAGCCAAGUCGCGUGAGGGAAGAAGGCCCUGCGGGUCGCAGACCUCUUUGGACGGGGAGCAAGGCCGCCGACGUGUCGGCGGAAGGAGAGUACCCGUAGAACAAGCAUCGGCUAACUCCGUGCCAGCAGCCGCGGUAAUACGGAGGAUGCGAGCGUUAUCCGGAUUUAUUGGGUUUAAAGGGUGCGUAGGCGGGCUGUUAAGUCAGCGGUCAAAUGUCGGGGCUCAACCCCGGCCUGCCGUUGAAACUGGCGGCCUCGAGUGGGCGAGAAGUAUGCGGAAUGCGUGGUGUAGCGGUGAAAUGCAUAGAUAUCACGCAGAACUCCGAUUGCGAAGGCAGCAUACCGGUGCACAACUGACGCUCAGGCACGAAAGCGUGGGUAUCGAACAGGAUUAGAUACCCUAGUAG